Molecule: long non-coding RNA, 430 nt
Filed under: Carica papaya (papaya)
Lineage: Eukaryota; Viridiplantae; Streptophyta; Magnoliopsida; Brassicales; Caricaceae
Description: long non-coding RNA (CPAP_LNC006577)
Source: RNAcentral
GGUGAGCUGCAGCGACUCGCCUGAAAUAAGGCACGUUGGCGAUGGGUCCCACCGGGAAUCUCUUGUGAACCAGUCCAUCGUGGACAAACAUGUAGGCCAUUCCAAACACAGUAAUGCCGAGGCCCUGUUGCAAUUACGAGAUGAUCGUGGGGGUAAUUUAGUCACUUCGCAUAAUAAAGAAAGAUUAAGUUUAAUUAUUAAUUUAGAAAAGGAUAAUAAAGAAUGAUUAAAUCAUUAACCGUUAAUUAAGCGGUUAAUAUAAAAUUCAUAAAAAAAGGAGAAUAAGAGACUUACAGCGCCGAAACAGAGGCCGGGAACGAGGCCUUUGUUGAAGAAGCCGUAGGAGAGAAGAGCGAUAGCAGGAACUGCGUUGGUUAUGGCGAAAACAUCGUUUAACUCGAAUGGACCUUCUCUUGGUCUAUGGUGAGAC